UUGCAGGUGGUGUAAUGGGCAACAUGCCUGCCUUUGAAGCAGGAGAUUUCCCGGUUCGAGGCCGGGCCUGCAAG
Molecule: transfer RNA, 74 nt
Filed under: Armatimonas rosea
Lineage: Bacteria; Bacillati; Armatimonadota; Armatimonadia; Armatimonadales; Armatimonadaceae
Rfam family: tRNA
About the family: Transfer RNA (tRNA) molecules are approximately 80 nucleotides in length. Their secondary structure includes four short double-helical elements and three loops (D, anti-codon, and T loops). Further hydrogen bonds mediate the characteristic L-shaped molecular structure. tRNAs have two regions of fundamental functional importance: the anti-codon, which is responsible for specific mRNA codon recognition, and the 3' end, to which the tRNAs corresponding amino acid is attached (by aminoacyl-tRNA synthetases). tRNAs cope with the degeneracy of the genetic code in two manners: having more than one tRNA (with a specific anti-codon) for a particular amino acid; and 'wobble' base-pairing, i.e. permitting non-standard base-pairing at the 3rd anti-codon position.
Source: Rfam by way of RNAcentral